This 498-nucleotide ribosomal RNA is filed under the name uncultured bacterium. RNAcentral's name for it is "partial 16S ribosomal RNA". It matches the Rfam family "Bacterial small subunit ribosomal RNA", at positions 28 to 507 of the family's 1533-position model. The record is from RNAcentral.
GACGAACGCUGGCGGCGUGCCUAAUACAUGCAAGUCGAACGAGAGCGCCCGGUGCUUGCCCUGGUCAAUCUAGUGGCGAACGGGUGAGUAACACGUGGGUAACCUGCCCAUCAGAGGGGGAUAACAUUCGGAAACGGAUGCUAAAACCGCAUAGGUCUUCGAACCGCAUGGUUUGAAGAGGAAAAGAGGCGCAAGCUUCUGCUGAUGGAUGGACCCGCGGUGCAUUAGCUAGUUGGUGAGGUAACGGCUCACCAAGGCCGUGAUGCAUAGCCGACCUGAGAGGGUGAUCGGCCACAUUGGGACUGAGACACGGCCCAAACUCCUACGGGAGGCAGCAGUAGGGAAUCUUCCGCAAUGGACGCAAGUCUGACGGAGCAACGCCGCGUGAGUGAAGAAGGUGUUCGGAUCGUAAAACUCUGUUGUUAGAGAAGAACAAGUGCUAGAGUAACUGUUAGCGCCUUGACGGUAUCUAACCAGAAAGCCACGGCUAACUACGUG